Molecule: transfer RNA, 74 nt
Filed under: Cyanothece sp. SIO2G6
Lineage: Bacteria; Bacillati; Cyanobacteriota; Cyanophyceae; Gomontiellales; Cyanothecaceae
Also listed under: 1 other name
Description: tRNA-Pro
Rfam family: tRNA
About the family: Transfer RNA (tRNA) molecules are approximately 80 nucleotides in length. Their secondary structure includes four short double-helical elements and three loops (D, anti-codon, and T loops). Further hydrogen bonds mediate the characteristic L-shaped molecular structure. tRNAs have two regions of fundamental functional importance: the anti-codon, which is responsible for specific mRNA codon recognition, and the 3' end, to which the tRNAs corresponding amino acid is attached (by aminoacyl-tRNA synthetases). tRNAs cope with the degeneracy of the genetic code in two manners: having more than one tRNA (with a specific anti-codon) for a particular amino acid; and 'wobble' base-pairing, i.e. permitting non-standard base-pairing at the 3rd anti-codon position.
Source: RNAcentral
CGGGAUGUAGCGCAGCUUGGUAGCGCGCCUGCUUUGGGAGCAGGAUGUCGUCGGUUCGAAUCCGGCCAUCCCGA